GUGCCAGCCGCCGCGGUAAUACGGAGGGUGCAAGCGUUGUUCGGAAUUAUUGGGCGUAAAGGGCGCGUAGGCGGUAAUGCAAGUCAGAUGUGAAAUACUCCGGCUCAACUGGGGAACUGCAUCUGAAACUGCAUAACUAGAGUACAGAAGAGGGAAACGGAAUUCCCGGUGUAGAGGUGAAAUUCGUAGAUAUCGGGAGGAACACCAGUGGCGAAGGCGGUUUCCUGGUCUGAUACUGACGCUGAGGCGCGAAAGUGUGGGGAGCAAACAGGAUUAGAAACCCUUGUAGUCC
This 292-nucleotide ribosomal RNA is filed under the name uncultured bacterium. Its description in RNAcentral is "partial 16S ribosomal RNA". It matches the Rfam family "Bacterial small subunit ribosomal RNA", at positions 505 to 796 of the family's 1533-position model. The record is from RNAcentral.